CACACUUUGGAGAGGACCUAACCGGGCUGAUCCUUCUUACAGAUGUGUCUGCCACUGCAGCUGAUGUUGAGACAACUCUCAGUCUUCCUGCAAGUCCUCGCCUGAUACUGCCUGUUUCAGGUGCAACAGGGCAAGUCACAAUUAAAGGUUGGAUGAUCACCUUUGAGGG
Molecule: long non-coding RNA, 169 nt
Organism: Monopterus albus (swamp eel)
Lineage: Eukaryota; Metazoa; Chordata; Actinopteri; Synbranchiformes; Synbranchidae
Exons: 3
Source: RefSeq, a predicted model, not a curated record